AAAUUGAAGAGUUUGAUCAUGGCUCAGAUUGAACGCUGGCGGCAGGCCUAACACAUGCAAGUCGAACGGUAACAGGAAGAAGCUUGCUUCUUUGCUGACGAGUGGCGGACGGGUGAGUAAUGUCUGGGAAACUGCCUGAUGGAGGGGGAUAACUACUGGAAACGGUAGCUAAUACCGCAUAACGUCGCAAGACCAAAGAGGGGGACCUUCGGGCCUCUUGCCAUCGGAUGUGCCCAGAUGGGAUUAGCUUGUAGGUGGGGUAACGGCUCACCUAGGCGACGAUCCCUAGCUGGUCUGAGAGGAUGACCAGCCACACUGGAACUGAGACACGGUCCAGACUCCUACGGGAGGCAGCAGUGGGGAAUAUUGCACAAUGGGCGCAAGCCUGAUGCAGCCAUGCCGCGUGUAUGAAGAAGGCCUUCGGGUUGUAAAGUACUUUCAGCGGGGAGGAAGGGAGUAAAGUUAAUACCUUU
Molecule: ribosomal RNA, 473 nt
Filed under: Escherichia coli
Lineage: Bacteria; Pseudomonadati; Pseudomonadota; Gammaproteobacteria; Enterobacterales; Enterobacteriaceae
Description: bacterial SSU rRNA
Rfam family: Bacterial small subunit ribosomal RNA
Source: RNAcentral